GACGAACCGUGCGACCGUUAUUCGGAAUCACUGGGCUUAAAGGGCGCGUAGGCGGGUCAUCAAGUCCGGGGUGAAAGCCCACGGCCCAACCGUGGAAGUGCCUUGGAUACUGAAGACCUCGAGGGGGAUAGGGGCGUGCGGAACUCAGGGUGGAGCGGUGAAAUGCGUAGAUAUCCUGAGGAACACCGGUGGCGAAAGCGGCGCGCUGGAUCCCUUCUGACGCUGAGGCGCGAAAGCCAGGGGAGCAAACGGG
This 253-nucleotide ribosomal RNA is filed under the name uncultured bacterium. RNAcentral's name for it is "partial 16S ribosomal RNA". It matches the Rfam family "Bacterial small subunit ribosomal RNA", at positions 524 to 776 of the family's 1533-position model. The record is from RNAcentral.